This 253-nucleotide ribosomal RNA is filed under the name uncultured bacterium. RNAcentral's name for it is "partial 16S ribosomal RNA". It matches the Rfam family "Bacterial small subunit ribosomal RNA", at positions 524 to 776 of the family's 1533-position model. The record is from RNAcentral.
UACGGAGGGUGCAAGCGUUAAUCGGAAUUACUGGGCGUAAAGCGUGCGCAGGCGGUUCGUUGUGUCGGCGGUGAAAGCCCCGGGCUCAACCUGGGAAUGGCCGUUGAAACUGGCGAACUGGAGUGUGGCAGAGGGGGGUGGAAUUCCGCGUGUAGCAGUGAAAUGCGUAGAUAUCAAGUGGAACACCAGUGGCGAAGGCGAGUCUCUGGACAUUUCCUGACGCUGAGGCACGAAAGCCAGGGGAGCAAACGGG